Molecule: ribosomal RNA, 328 nt
Filed under: uncultured eukaryote
Lineage: Eukaryota
Description: partial 18S ribosomal RNA
Rfam family: Eukaryotic small subunit ribosomal RNA
Source: RNAcentral
CCCUUAGAUGUCCUGGGCCGCACGCGCGUUACACUGAUGCAUUCAACGAGCUUAUAACCUUGGCCGAGAGGCCUGGGCAAUCUUGUUAACGUGCAUCGUGAUAGGGAUAGAUUAUUGAAAUUAUUAAUCUUGAACGAGGAAUUCCUAGUAAACGCAGAUCAUCAAUCUGCAUUGAUUACGUCCCUGCCCUUUGUACACACCGCCCGUCGCACCUACCGAUUGGAUGGUCCGGUGAAGCCUCGGGAUUGUGGUUCUUGCCGCCUUGUUGUGGCGUGACCGCGAGAACUUGUCUAAACCUUAUCAUCUAGAGGAAGGUGAAGUCGUAACA